CUCCCCCUACGGGAGGCAGCAGUGGGGGAUAUUGCACAAUGGGGGAAACCCUGAUGCAGCAACGCCGCGUGAGUGAAGAAGUAUUUCGGUAUGUAAAGCUCUAUCAGCAGGGAAGAGAAUGACGGUACCUGACUAAGAAGCCCCGGCUAACUACGUGCCAGCAGCCGCGGUAAUACGUAGGGGGCAAGCGUUAUCCGGAAUUACUGGGUGUAAAGGGAGAGUAGGCGGCAAGGUAAGCGAUAUGUGAAAGCCUUAGGCUUAACUUAAGGAUUGCAUAACGAACUAUCUAGCUAGAGUACAGGAGA
RNAcentral lists this ribosomal RNA (305 nucleotides) under uncultured bacterium. Its description in RNAcentral is "bacterial SSU rRNA". It matches the Rfam family "Bacterial small subunit ribosomal RNA", at positions 333 to 655 of the family's 1533-position model. The record is from RNAcentral.